UGAACAAGCGCCGAUGUUUGUGCC
Molecule: non-coding RNA, 24 nt
Filed under: Arabidopsis thaliana (thale cress)
Lineage: Eukaryota; Viridiplantae; Streptophyta; Magnoliopsida; Brassicales; Brassicaceae
Source: RNAcentral